Canis lupus familiaris (dog) is the source of this 9555-nucleotide RNA transcript. It is a transcript of the gene named 6-phosphofructo-2-kinase/fructose-2,6-biphosphatase 2, with no coding region annotated. The transcript is spliced from 17 exons. The record is from RefSeq and is a predicted model, not a curated record. Lineage: Eukaryota; Metazoa; Chordata; Mammalia; Carnivora; Canidae.
GCAACGCACCUCCCCGGUGCGGGGACGCUCGGGAGCUCGCGAGCUCCGGGCUGCGCGGUUUCUCCUUCCACCUUCCGCGGCCGCCGUCCGCGGCUGCGAUCGGAGCCCCGCCCCGGGGAGCCUGCGGCCGCCGGAUUGGCGGAUGAGCCUCUCCAGGACCGAAUCCUGCCCUUGGACUGCAAUGACUGACUUCACAAUCACGAACUCGACCUAUCUCUGCAGCCCAUUCGCACACCCUUGACUUCUUGACUCGUGCCGCUCUUCUCCCCAGUUCCGAAAACGAGAAUCUGAGACAUCUCCGGAAGUGCUGCCAUGUCUGGGAAUAUUGAAUCUUCCUCGGAACAGAACAACAACAGCUAUGAAACCAAAACCUCCAAUCUUCGAAUGUCAGAGAAGAAAUGUUCGUGGGCAUCUUAUAUGACCAACUCCCCAACUCUCAUCGUUAUGAUUGGCUUGCCAGCCCGGGGCAAAACCUAUGUGUCUAAGAAACUCACACGCUACCUCAACUGGAUUGGGGUGCCCACCAAAGUGUUUAAUCUUGGGGUAUAUCGACGUGAAGCAGUCAAGUCCUAUAAGUCCUACGACUUCUUCCGACACGACAAUGAGGAGGCCAUGAAGAUCCGCAAACAGUGUGCUUUGGUGGCGCUGGAAGAUGUGAAGGCAUAUCUUACUGAGGAGAACGGGCAGAUUGCUGUGUUCGAUGCCACCAAUACCACCAGGGAGAGGAGGGACAUGAUUUUGAGCUUUGCCAAGGAGAAUUCCUUCAAGGUAUUCUUUGUGGAAUCUGUCUGCGAUGAUCCUGAUGUCAUUGCUGCCAACAUCCUGGAGGUAAAGGUGUCGAGCCCGGACUACCCUGAAAGGAACAGGGAGAAUGUGAUGGAGGACUUCCUAAAGAGAAUCGAGUGCUACAAAGUCACCUACCGACCCCUUGACCCAGACAACUAUGACAAGGAUCUUUCUUUCAUCAAGGUGAUAAAUGUGGGCCAGCGAUUUUUAGUGAACAGAGUCCAGGACUACAUCCAGAGCAAGAUCGUCUACUACCUCAUGAAUAUCCACGUGCAGCCUCGUACCAUUUACCUUUGCCGGCAUGGAGAGAGCGAAUUCAACCUCUUGGGGAAGAUUGGGGGUGACUCUGGCCUCUCGGCUCGGGGAAAACAGUUUGCCCAGGCUUUAAGGAAGUUUCUGGAGGAACAGGAGAUAGCAGACCUCAAAGUGUGGACGAGCCAGCUAAAGAGGACUAUCCAGACCGCUGAAUCCCUGGGUGUGACCUAUGAGCAGUGGAAGAUUCUGAACGAGAUCGAUGCUGGCGUGUGCGAGGAGAUGACCUAUGCACAGAUUGAGAAGCAGUACCCGGACGAGUUCGCUCUUCGAGAUCAAGAGAAAUACCUGUAUCGGUACCCUGGUGGGGAGUCCUACCAGGACCUGGUGCAGCGGCUGGAGCCCGUCAUCAUGGAGCUGGAGCGCCAGGGCAACGUCCUCGUCAUCUCCCACCAGGCUGUCAUGCGCUGCCUGCUGGCCUACUUCUUGGACAAGGGUGCAGAUGAGCUACCGUACUUGAGGUGCCCUCUCCAUACCAUCUUCAAACUUACUCCUGUGGCCUACGGAUGCAAAGUGGAAACAAUUAAACUCAAUGUGGAGGCUGUGAACACUCACCGCGACAAGCCAGCUAACAACUUCCCCAAGAACCAAACCCCUGUAAGGAUGAGAAGGAACAGCUUUACGCCUCUGUCCAGUUCGAAUACAAUAAGGCGUCCAAGAAAUUACAGUGUUGGGAGCCGGCCCCUCAAGCCCCUCAGCCCUCUCCGUGCCCUGGACACGCAAGAAGGGGCCGACCAGCCGAAGACCCAAGUCAGCAUUCCGGUGGUGUAACCGUGUGUCCCCUCCAGGCUUGGCCUCCUGCCCUUGUCACUAAGCACCAAGGAGUCAUUUAACUUCCAGCCCCUACCCCCAGUGCUCCACCACGGAUCUUAACACAGAACGUGAGCUCACGUGUUUCCAGACCAAUCUUAGCUGUUCUCCAGUGUGAAACAUGUCCCCGCCCAGGGGCCAUUUGACCAGUGGGUAUUUCAGGACACGUCCUCAUUUGGGGUGGUCUGGAGAAGGAGGAAAAGGGAUACGCUCCCCUGGGUGCUUAGCAUAGCUGGGUCUGAGGUUAAGCCUGCCCCGUAGACUUGGUUCUUGUCCCUGGUGUCUAAACCCCUAACGUCCUUGUGUUGGUAAAGUGGGGGGUGGGGCGGAGGGGGAUGCAGAAGCCCAUUUUUCCUUCACCUUUGUCUCUUCGAGGUGUGCUCUACUCACAGUCCUUACUUGCCUGCUUUGUGCCCCCCCUCGCUCACCUCCCCUUUGGAUUGUCCGGUGUGGUGCAUGGCAUUGUCGUCGUGGUGUCUGUGGAGCAGGGGAGGGGUGGCCAGAGAGAAGUCUAGGCUCUGUUGAUGCUCUCGGCAGGGGGCCUCAAUGGAUCCAGACUGGGGGAGCUUUUUUUUUUCCCCCUCUCCUUUCCUCUCAAGCCAGGUCCUGAAAGGGUCAGUCUAGGCUGUAGAACAUCCACAGAUGCUCUGGAGCCUGCAAGUGGACGUAGGGUGAGAGUACGUGCCUCCUUUCGUGAGAACCAGUCCUGAAUCUACGAGGCCCUGGGGGCAGUUGGCUCUGAGUGUGUGCAAAAUGUCUUGGUUGGUAUUUUUCACUUCAAAAGCCAGGCAUAGGUUGUUUUGGCAGCUGUAGAGUGAGGUUUAGGUGAAGGGGACAUUCUCUAGCUCUUGCAGGUCUCUUGUAGGGCAGCCAUGCCUAUUUUUCCAGUGGCUCCCAGCUUUGCCAUCCACAGCAACUUUCCUGCCGAGGCCAGUGACCUCUGGGGCUGUGUAGGACAGAGUUAGGUUAAAGAGUCACCAGUGAUGCUGGCAUUGCUCAAGGCAGACAGCAGGGAAGAGGUCACUAGAGCUUAUUUUCCUGGAAUUUUCAACACUCCACUUUAGAUUAAAAAAAUUUUGCAUGAGCAAUGUUGUUGUUGUUGUUGUUUUCUCCUAAAUCUGGGAGAGGCCUGAUGAUGAACUUAAUCUUCUCACGGGUGUAUUCUUUCUUCCAUCUUAAUGUCCUGGAGUCUUUGGGACCCUGAGGGGUCUAGCUCUGAGUUGUCUGGAAUUGCCUAUUUGCUUCUGUCAUUUUAUUUUCUCCGCAGGGUUAAACAGGAAAUGUUUAGAGCAGGGGAUUCUUAGCUCCUUGGUGGCCCUCCAAUUGUGCAUAUAAAACAUGAACAUAUGUGCAGUCUUCUGAGAGGGAAGUCCCGAUUUCUCAUGAGAUUUUUAUAAGUGAUGGGAUGAAUCCACACCUUAAAGUUAUCAAUUUGUCAUUCAGAGGAAACCGGCAAGAGCCAGUGAGCUUUAGGCCAAGGGUGUUUUUGUUUGCUAAUAGAAGACCUUUUGUCAUGGUUCUCAUCUAGGAGCAUUCAUUCGAAUCCUCUUUAGAAUUUUUUUUUUAAAGAUUUAUUUAUUUAUGAUAGACAUAGAGAGAGGCAGAGACACAGGCAGAGGGAGAAGCAGGCUCCAUGCAGGGAGCCUGAUGCGGGACUCGAUCCCGGGACUCCAGGAUCGCGCCCUGGGCCAAAGGCAGGCGCUAAGCUGCUGAGCCAUCCAGGGUUCCCCCCCCCCACCCUUUAGAUGGUAAAGGUUAUCAUCACAAGCAGCUGACUUGUGACCUGGAGUCCUUUAUUCUUACAUCCCGAGUAGGACAUCACAGUGUUUCCAAAAAGGUUGCAUGCCUAGCUUCUGCCCCUCGUUGCAUCUAAGCUGCCGUACAGCUUUGCCGUUACAUUCCGUGUACGUAGGGUCUUCGUGAGGGCUUCGGGCUGGGUGGGAGGCAGUGAUGAUGGUAGAGGACAGGGAAGUAGAAGAGAAGGUUCUUGCCCUGAAGAAGGUUAUUUUGAAGACAGGUUAUAUAAUUAUAACAAAUGAACGUUUGUGAAAGAGCAACACCUUGAGUCUGUAAGUGUGGACAUCAAAGUGGAGUUUAGAUUACUUCUGGCUUUUCUCUUGUCCUGUGAGACUAAAGGGGGUAGGAGGUGAGAAUCCUCCUCCCGCAGGUGGGGAUGAGAUGUGAUCUAGGCACAAGGUGGGGCACUUUUACAAGCCCUGGUGGAACCUGAGUGGCCGGCAGCACCCUUAGGCCAAAUGGUUAUUCAUUCAAGUCUUUUUUUUUUUUUUUCCUGCUGUGCACUAAGAAAAUUCAGAGCUAAUGAAUGACAAGCAGGAGCAUUUUGAUCCAAAGACUUUGGAUCUGAGCUGUGCAUACUCUUAGAGGAGGAUUCUCCAGCGCACGAGCCUUGUGUUACCCUUUUUGUGAACCCCAGCGUGAGACACAGGUUGCCAGGAUGUCCUCUGUGGCCCUCAGCCUGCUCCUCGUUUCUCCACCCUCCCCCGUGCUAGUUUGCUUCCCCCAAAGGGAGAGCCCGAGGUGACACAAGAAAUUAAGAUACGAGAAAUUAGAACUUGACGGUAGUGAGGCUCUCGGCACCCUUCAGGUUUUAGAGCAAGAUCCCUCCAGAGAAGUUUGAGCAGCAAGAAGCCAGGAGAAUAGAGCGGAACAGAGCUCUUGCUCCACAUUUCAGAGACACUCGGCUUCCUGCCCUUUCUCUCCUCUUCUUCCUUUCUUACUGGAACAUGUGUUAGUUGUAUCUACACGUUACCAUAAUCACGUCUAGAUCACAGAUCGUACAAAGAAAGGAGGGGUCCCAGAGCACCUUUUGCUGAGGCUUUCAAGUUUCAUUGUGGGAGAAAUAAGGGAAGGCUUUAGCCUGUUUAAAUUAUUUAAUCCAGUAAAUGGGGAAAGGAAAAUCCCUGUAUACUUUAUUUUCUUGUUUGGAAGCUGAAUGAUGAAUUUCGUGACAGACUUGAAAGAGGAAUCUGAAGCAGAUUUAGGGAACUAGCUUCUCUUGUUUCUUAACCCUCAAAUUAGAAUUUAGUUCUUAAUCUGUAUUGCCUUUGGUUUGGUUUGAUUUUGAUAAGGAGAGUGUUUUACAUUUAGCCCCAAAGUAGAGUAAGAAAAUCUUUUAAGAACAUUGCAUUGUGCUGUUGGGUCUGUCCUAUCUUGUUGUCUCAGGGUUGGUUGGUUGGUUGUUCCCCCCCAAGAAGUUAGAGUUAGGAAUACAAUGUGUCUGUAUUCCCAGGCUGAAUGGAUGAGUGUUUCCUGUGAUGUUCUGGGUGCUCCUCUUUGUAACCCACAAACAGAUCUACAGUGGCACCAGCAUUCUCAAGAAACUUGACAUAACUGUGGAAAUAAAUCCAUCUUACGGUUGUUCUCUGAGUAGGAGGUCUAGGUUCUGGAGAAACCCAUUGGGGUAGCCAAAGGACAGGGGGAAGAAAGUCUAAUGAUUGAGGGACCGUGUCUGGGUUAUACAGUCUUACGGACAUUCCAUUGUCUGUGCUGAGUUCAGAAGCCAUGUUGUGUUUGUUUUCCAGAAAUUUGACCAAUUUACCCAGGUUUCCUAGCAUACAUUUUGACUUGGUCAUGUUUUAAAAAUUUUAAUUUUAAAAAGAUCUAACAGUUGAGCCAGGUUGCAGCAUUGAUAGGAUGGAUCUCUGACUUCCCAGGAAUUUAAUUUAGACGCCUGGUGUCUAGAAGACUGUAUCUCGCGAUAACAAUAUGCUGGCUGACUGGCUGACGGACUCCAGUAGGUUUCUUGUCAUCCAACAGUCUGUUUGCUGAUUGUACCCUUUAGUAGCAGAUGUGUAUUACUAGAAUUCUGUGUCUGUCGCAUGUGUCCUUCAACAAAAGGACGUAAACACUCCACAUGUUUUUUCAGGGGGAAGUUCUGUAUACUAUGAUUUUUAAUAGACAUUUCAUUUAGGGUAGCAGCCAAAUUCUCAUCAUUUUGUAGCAAACGAAGAUUGAACAUCACUUGUGUAUAAUGUUUUGUGAACUCAGCGAAGGAGAUGCCUGCUCAAAGCCUGAAAUUGUUACCUCUGCCUGCAUUCAUUCCACUCACUCACCCACUUGUAGGCACGACUUGCCUUUCACCAGCGGCUGCUGACCCUGCUGUGUCCUCAGCUUCCCUGUCCCGGGAUACAGCAGUGGAUAAUGCUGUUGUUUUCUGUCUCCCAUGCAUCUAGCUCUUACUCUAAUAAAUAAAAAUGCAAAGGAAAUUUUACAUUUAAAAAUGGAUUUUAAGAGGUGGCAAAAGUAUUCUUUCCAAUCAGCCUUUCACUGGGGACCUAGGACCAAUAUCUAUCAACUCAAUGUUUUUGUAUCUGAAUUGCUUGUGUACAUUUUUUUUUUAUUGUGUUGAAAUAACAAAAUCAACUCGUCUGAUAUGGUGAUGGUUUUACUGUGGCAAAAGCAAAGGACUGAUCACCAGCUGUGCCCCUUGGAGGGAAUAGGAAAUGGUUGAAGGGAACGGACUGAAUUGGGAACUCAUGUACUAGAGUUAUCCUGCGGAUUUUCUAGGCACAGCUCUGGUGAAACAGUAAUGUGAGUCCUUACCAGCAUUCUGAUUUAAUGUGGUGACAUGAUAUCAAAAUAUGCACUCAGAUCCACAGAAGGUGUUUAUAACUAUAUUUGAAAUGUGCUUUUGUGUGUAUGUGUGUGUGUGUGUGUGUGUAUAGAACGGGUAAAUAAAAUCGUUGAGUAACUUGAACCUAUCAGAAGGCUUCUGGGUUUUUUGUUUUGUAUUUUGAGUUGUGUUCUCCAUCCACUACCCCACCUCCAAAGCUGUGUGCUGCUGCUCCAUGAUUGAGCUCAGACUCGUGAAAGCCAGUUGGCAGCAUGACUGGAUUCCUUGGUGUGGGCAUGGCUCUCUUCCACCACCUUCUGGGAAGGAUGGGUAGUAGGACAUUAUGGAAGGCACGUGAACUCCGGUAGAAGCUGUGUGUACGUUUUUGGCACCUCUUUAAGAAUUAAGAAAAAAUUGCCUUUGCCUACACUGUACUAUGACUCCCGUUAGCAACAUGUAACUCAUUAUUGUAAAGAAAAAAAGGUGGAGAUCUCUUAGAAUUUAGUGGGCUGCCCCUUCUAGAACGUGACCUGCCUGUUUCUAAAAACCUUGCAGUCAACAGAAUGAAAUGGCAUUAAACUUCUGGGACAGGAAAUACAGGUGGAAGUGUGUCACCGCCUGGCGCCUCAUUCCCUGUCAGCCUCACGAGGAGCAGGAACUCAUUAGCCAUGCAGACUCUCGGCCCUGUCAUCGGAAUCCUCAUCUUCAUAGACUUAUUACCAAGUGAUUCACAUGCAAAUUUAACACUUGGGAUUCACUGCUCUAGGGGGAAGAGUUCCUCACAAAAAGUUCAGCCCCAGCUUCUGGGAAGAAGCUGAUCUCUGCCCUGACGGAUUUCGGAUUUCGGAAGGGACCGUAGAGAGCCUCCUCAGAAGCCGAGGAGCCUCUGACUGCAGUGCCAUUUUGUCACCAUGGUCUUUUGGUUGAUAGCAGCCUACAUGCUCUCCUUUUUACCACAGGGCUUCCCACAGCCUCUGCCUCCUAUCUUGGGUAUAUAGCUUAUGGUCUAGGUCUGGAAGGAGUGCCUGAUCCAACAAGGUCACAAAGCUCCCAGGCGGAAACUGGGUUGGCUGUGCUUAGGCACUCACUCCCCUUCAGCGCCCCUCACCCCGCUUUGCCGAUGACGUGAAGGCCGAGGCCAGACCUCUCUGAGAUCUACUACUGCAGAGCCUGGGGAUGCCAGCUCCACGGGGGCUCCAUCAGGAAGUUAAGCUGGGAUUGGACAUUCGGGGCCACCAAAAUGAGGCCUGGAAAAACAUUACAUUUCUUCCCCUCGGGCCUAAUGGGAAUGUCUGUUACACAGGAAGACUUGACUUCCCUGUGCCUCAAAACAUCCAACAGCCUGAGCCGAUGAGUUUGUAUUAUCUCUGCUGGGGUGUGAGCCCAGUUGGCCAGUCUUGUUCUGUUUCUGUAUUUCACUUCUCACCUGCGAUUGUAUCCCUGGCUGCCUAUUCUUUUCUGAAAUGUGAACGCACCUCUUGAGAUGUGUUUCCAAGGGGAGGGCUGCACUGCCGCAAGCCUGUUCUGUGCUGUGAGAGCUGGUCUCUGCAUCCCUUCCAGGCUCGCGGGCGCGCACACAACGGAUGCAUGCUAGCAGUCCCUUUUUUGUCACAUUGGAAACGAGACAAACUCACCAGGUGAAUAGCGGGUAUCUGAGAAAUUCAGUCCCUGAAUUGUCUCUUCUGCGGUGAUGGAAGAGCAGUCUCGGUCAGCCUUCUUGUCAUUAGAGAAGUUUUUCCUUGUUCCAGGCCCCAUAAGGGUAGGAUCAUCCUGACUGCAAGGCUCCCCAGAACGAGUACCCAUCGUCAAAGUUCCUGUUUCACAAGUAGCUACAUCCAGUAUUUUCUACUGGAUGCUGUGUCCCCUCAUAGCUGCAGAGGGCUAGGUCAUCCUCUACCAGUUGGGAAUGAGGGCUGGAGAGAAAGGUAGGGUGCCGUUGACAUUACCUGAAGAAUGAAAGAGGGUUCCUUGGGAGUUCUUGCUUCACAACCAGUGCAGGGGGACAUGACUUUCUGUGGGGUCUGUCUCUAAGAAAGCAGCUGGUUCUGAUGCCUACCUCCUAGCUAAUUGUCACUAUUGGGUCUGCUGGUCUCUUACGCAGACCUCUUAUGUAGGUGUCUUAUGCUGGGAGAGCCAAGUCCUUGGUGCAUCCAUCAUUUGGUUUCCUGUGAAGUUAAGCCAGGUAGUUCUCUAGAGCAAUGUGAUUCUCUGUCAAUGUGAUUUAAAUAUGUCACUACUCCAAAGGAGGGUAUGGAAGCUCCAAAGGAUAAAGAUAAGCAAAAUCCUUUUUUUUUUUUUUUUUUUUUUUUAAGAAUAGUAAGUUUUUAGCUUUCUAAAUACUUUUUUCCUUUCAUGCAGAUACCCACUUGCUGGGCAAGAGGGUAAGUAAAGAGAAAGGUAAUGAAAUGCAGCUUUUAAUGGUUCUUUUAUACUGUGGAUGAUACAGGGCUCUGUUACCUAAGAUGUGAUGAGCUGGGCUGCAGGCAGUUCAGCAUCCAGCAACCAGGAGCUUAUUUUAUACGCACAAAGCUGCCUUCAGAAAGGCUCCUGACUCUGCUCUGUAGCAGGGGCUUUUCAUUUGGCCGCUCGUAGCGUGCGGUACUGUGAUGAUUUUGUUCUUGUGAUGCAGGUUUCUUUCUGCAUCUGAACGCAAUGCCUGUUGAUAAUCAGAUAAUGUUUUUAUUUAGCUAUUUAUUCAUCCAUGUGAGAUACUUUUAAAUCCCGUAGUAGUGUCUGCAUGUAUGUUGAUCGGAAUGUUAGAUAAUUGGUGUUGUAUGUUUUUCAGUAGAAAUUUAGGGAGGUUGAGAUUUUAAGUCUGAUGUCCAUAGUAUUACCUUAAAUUAAAUUUCCAGGGUCUAGGUACCUGCCUUCUGAAAAGGAUGACAACUACGGUAGGGCACAGUGGAUUUCUUUUGAAUAUUUUUCUUUCUGAUUGAUUUGUAUUAUAAGUAUCAGCCAAGAGAUGCAUUUCUCUGGUGAGAAGUUUAUCUCCUGGAUAAAUAAAAAUCAUGCUAAAAUACGUCAGUAAUAUGUAUUGCUUUGUAAUAAGAAAUAAAAGUUAUUUUUAAUUUAAA